RNAcentral lists this ribosomal RNA (212 nucleotides) under Clostridioides difficile. Its description in RNAcentral is "partial 16S ribosomal RNA". It matches the Rfam family "Bacterial small subunit ribosomal RNA", at positions 1331 to 1533 of the family's 1533-position model. The record is from RNAcentral. Lineage: Bacteria; Bacillati; Bacillota; Clostridia; Peptostreptococcales; Peptostreptococcaceae.
GUUACUAGUAAUCGCAGAUCAGAAUGCUGCGGUGAAUGCGUUCCCGGGUCUUGUACACACCGCCCGUCACACCACGGGAGUUGGAGCCGCCCGAAGCCGAUUAUCUAACCUUUUGGAAGAAGUCGUCGAAGGUGGAAUCAAUAACUGGGGUGAAGUCGUAACAAGGUAGCCGUAUCGGAAGGUGCGGCUGGAUCACCUCCUUUCUAAGGAGA